Molecule: ribosomal RNA, 424 nt
Filed under: uncultured bacterium
Lineage: Bacteria
Description: partial 16S ribosomal RNA
Rfam family: Bacterial small subunit ribosomal RNA
Source: RNAcentral
AAUAUUGGACAAUGGGCGAAAGCCUUAUCCAGCCAUGCCGCGUGUGUGAAGAAGGUCUUCGGUUUGUAAAUCACUUUAAUUUGGGAGGAAGGGCAGUAAGUUAUUACUUUUCUGUUUUGACGUUACCGACAGAAUAAGCACCGGCUAACUUCGUGCUAGCAGCCGCGGUAAUACGAAUGGUGCAAUCGUGAAUCGGAAUUACUGGGCGUAAAGCGCGCAGAGGUUAUUUAUUAAUUUGGAAGUGAAAGCCCCGGGCUCAACCUGGGAACUGCUUUCAAAACUGGCAAGCUAGAGUAUGGCAGAGGGUGGUGGAAUUUCCUGUGUAGCGGUGAAAUGCGUAGAUAUAGGAAGGAAAACCAGUGGCGAAGGCGACCACCUGGGCUAAUACUGACACUGAGGUGCGAAAGCGUGGGGAGCAAACAGG